Molecule: ribosomal RNA, 402 nt
Filed under: uncultured bacterium
Lineage: Bacteria
Description: bacterial SSU rRNA
Rfam family: Bacterial small subunit ribosomal RNA
Source: RNAcentral
AAUGAACGCUGGCGGCGUGGAUUAGGCAUGCAAGUCGAACGCGAAAGUUCCCUUCGGGGAGCGAGUAGAGUGGCGAAAGGGUGAGUAAUGCUUGGAUGACCUGCCCUCGAGACGGGGACAACAGUUCGAAAGGACUGCUAAUACCCGAUAGUCCGGUUUAGAUGCGUCUAGAUCGGUAAAUGGUGCUUCCGCUCGAGGAGGGGUUCAAGUCCUAUCAGCUUGUUGGUGAGGUAACGGCUCACCAAGGCGACGAUCUGUAGCGGGUCUGAGAGGAUGAUCCGCCACACUGGAACUGAGACACGGUCCAGACUCCUACGGGAGGCAGCAGUGGGGAAUUUUGGACAAUGGGCGCAAGCCUGAUCCAGCCAUGCCGCGUGAGUGAAGAAGGCCUCGGUUGGUAAG